Molecule: ribosomal RNA, 391 nt
Filed under: uncultured soil bacterium
Lineage: Bacteria
Description: bacterial SSU rRNA
Rfam family: Bacterial small subunit ribosomal RNA
Source: RNAcentral
AGAUUGAACGCUGGCGGCAUGCCUAACACAUGCAAGUCGAACGGGAGUAGCAAUACUCUAGUGGCGGACGGGUGAGGAAUACGUAGGAAUUUGCCCUUAAGUGGGGGAUAACCCGGGGAAACCCGGAUUAAUACCGCAUGACCUCGAAAGAGCAAAGUGGGGGAUCGCAAGACCUCACGCUUUUGGAGAAGCCUACGUCGGAUUAGCUAGUUGGUGAGGUAAUGGCUCACCAAGGCGACGAUCCGUAACUGGUCUGAGAGGAUGAUCAGUCACACCGGAACUGAGACACGGUCCGGACUCCUACGGGAGGCAGCAGUGGGGAAUAUUGGACAAUGGGCGCAAGCCUGAUCCAGCAAUGCCGCGUGUGUGAAGAAGGCCGUUCGGUUGUAAA